Molecule: long non-coding RNA, 979 nt
Organism: Jatropha curcas
Lineage: Eukaryota; Viridiplantae; Streptophyta; Magnoliopsida; Malpighiales; Euphorbiaceae
Source: RefSeq, a predicted model, not a curated record
GUCCAACGUGAAAAUUCUCUUCAAACAUUUUCUCUGCAGAACUUGCUCUUCAAUAGUAAAAUCUACUGCCUUUGUUUGGUUACUGAGAAAACACCACACCAGCUUGCUCUUCAAUGGGCUUAAACAAUGGUGGAUGAGAAUAUAAUGGUUAACGGCAUCACAUCGGAGAACGAUGAACAGACUGUAGAGAGCUUCUACGAUGUCGAUGAAUGAGAGAACGAAAUCAAGAUGAAGCAAAAGAUCAAAGCCUUAGAGAAGGAGAAUUCUCUCCAUGGCCAACGAGAACGGAAAGCUCAAAGAUCUGAUUCUGCAACUGACAGCGGAGAUUGAGAUCGGAGGAGUCACAAUUGAAGCCAAGGUUCAGAGUGAUGGAGAGAGAUAGAACAAUCGGAGGAAAGCAAGAGAGCGUUGGAAUCCAUCGCUAACAGAGCUGCAAAGCGAGAGAGAGAGGUCAUGCAGUUUGGGACUAAACAUACAAAAUUUGAAACUAUCAACAAUCGUCUUUGAUUAUUGGGAUGAAGAUGAAUUCGAAGGUCUUCUUGCCAACAGUUGUGGCUCGAAACCCCUAAAGCUAUUACGUCUACCACUCCAAUAGAUAAUCAAAGCACGGAUUUGAAACCAAAACAGGUAUGAAUUAAGAAAAAUCCUAUAUAGUGAUUUCUUUUCUUAUUAUUCUUGGUUUCAUCCUUUACUAGCAGUAUAUUUCCUUGCUUGUUAUUUUUCAUUUCCUCCUUUAUUUACAGUAUAUAUUUGCUUCUUCUUCUUUAUUUUAUUUUUUUAUAGCUUUUUUUUGUUUGUUGAUUUAUCAUUAUAGGGUUUGUCAAUUUGCUUUACUCGUUUGUAAGGGAAAGCUUGCUAAUUGAUAUGGUUGAGUGGUAGAGGUAUUUGGUUAGUGAAUGAGAGUUUUGAGCCUUGGGUUAAUGUUAACCAAGGUUAUGACAUGGGUUUCACAUUUAUAUAAUUUUAUUCAAUUUGAAAA